RNAcentral lists this ribosomal RNA (468 nucleotides) under uncultured bacterium. Its description in RNAcentral is "partial 16S ribosomal RNA". It matches the Rfam family "Bacterial small subunit ribosomal RNA", at positions 28 to 507 of the family's 1533-position model. The record is from RNAcentral.
GACGAACGCUGGCGGCGUGCUUAACACAUGCAAGUCGAACGGAAAGGUCCUGCUUUUGUGGGGUGCUCGAGUGGCGAACGGGGGAGUAACACGUGAGUAACCUGCCCUUGACUUUGGGAUAACUUCAGGAAACUGGGGCUAAUAUCGGAUAGGAGCUCUUGAUGCAUGGUGGGGGUUGGAAAGUUUCGGCGGUUGGGGAUGGUCUCGCGGCUCAUCAGCUGGUUGGUGGGGUAGUGGCUUACCACGGCUUUGAAGGGUAGCCGGCCUGGGAGGGUGACCGGCCACAUUGGUCCUGCGGUACGCCCCAGACUCCUACGGGCGGCAGCAGUGGGGAAUAUUGCACAGUGGGCGGAAGCCUGAUGCAGCAGCGCCGCGUGCGUGAUGCCGGCCUUCGGGUUAUAAACCGCUUUCGCCUGUGACGAGGCGUGAGUGACGGUAAUGGGUAAAAAAGCACCGGCUAACUACGUG